UGGAACAUAUGGCCUAUAUUUGAAUAGUUGUGGGAAUAACUGUGGGAACAUGGAGCAGCAAGAAUAAGCUGUGGGACCAAUGGGCUGUGGGAAACAUAGAGCAGCUGACCCCCAACAGGGUCUUCAUGGUUGUAUGACCUGAAUACAUUUUCAAAGCGGAGCCACAGGAUGCGGACUUCUACUCUUUUCCACUAUUAGACGCGCCUUUGUCCUGCACCUGGCCUCAGCGAGGUGGGAUGUGCAUACUCUUACUUUUAUAAAAAUGUUGUAUAUUGACCACUAAUUCUGUGCAUGCUGUCAUACAGAGAUGAUGACCCAUUCCUGAAGUUGGACGCCAGAAUGCAGGAAGGUGCUGUUUAAGAGCCAAGGCGGUGGAAGAAGCACUUGCAGGUAUGCUACCGACCAGGCUCCUCAACAUCAAUCCGAGACGGAAGAUGAAACGGGAUGAAGCAGUUAGAUUGAGACAAGGAGGCCGGAAACUUUGAUGACCUCAAUGACACUGGCUAGGUGAAGGACAUCAAGAAAAUGGCAUCAGGUCACCAGACAUCAGCUCAUAAUCCACAACGUCAUCAACCAUUUUGCGCCAAAAAUGAAGCCGUUCACAUACCAUGGCAUCCUAAGCAGGCAGCACUACACUACUGUGCAACAGUGAGAGGGAGUGGGCAAGGACAAGUAAAGCGGACCUACACUACUGCAAGACUUUGACACUUCUCCACGUGAGAGGCAGCCAUCGCCCCCACCGUUGAGCAGUGUGUACCCAGUACCCCCAAAAGAGGAGAUGAUCCGACGCCCUCACAGCCGAUUCCCAAAAUUGUACACAAAAACUCUGUAUGGGCAAGUGUGUGUGUGUAUGAUAUUGUAAAACUUUUCAGUCCAUCUUCUAUACUAUACAAUGUAUAAAUAUACAUGUGAAAACCUAAAUAUGCAUUAAAAACCAUUACUGAGGUUAAGAAAUGCAUUAUAACAAAUACAUCUGAUUCAGGUGUACUGUACAUAGAAAUGUCUUUAUUUGCCACAAAUACAUCACAUCCUGGAAACCUGUACAAUGUGUAGAUUCAAAGGUCUGCCAGAUCUUUGUGACGGCACAGGAUUGCAGUGGAACCCAAACAUAGCCUAUGAACUCCCACGCCAUCUCACCAACUGCCGAUAUGCAGUAUGCCUGAAUUUCCUGUACAGCAAAGAAAUGUAGAGAUUGUGCCUUCAUCGAGAAUAGGUCAUUUGGAAUCACAACAUAUUCAAUUUACUUUGUGCGUGUGGUGUAGCUAUUGCUGGUAUUAUUAUGUUACUAGUGACCCAUUUAGUUGAGCUCAAUAGUCUACAUGACAUCUCUGCACUUGUGUUACCACUAUUGGGAUUGGCAGCUCCCUAAAUGAAAAUGAGAAGAACUUGCCUGGAUGAAAUGUUAUGAACUGUGUGCGUUGUGCUGCUUGCUGAAGUAACAUGACACCCACAUCACCUUCCAGAAAUAAAGUGUAUACAGGCUACCUAACCAGAGUCCUAGAGACCUAUUGCUGCUGUGUGAUGAAAUCCAGGCAAAG
This is a long non-coding RNA of Engraulis encrasicolus (European anchovy), 1538 nucleotides long. RefSeq lists it as uncharacterized. The record is from RefSeq and is a predicted model, not a curated record. The transcript has 4 exons. Lineage: Eukaryota; Metazoa; Chordata; Actinopteri; Clupeiformes; Engraulidae.